Non-coding RNA from Meleagris gallopavo (turkey), 306 nucleotides. Lineage: Eukaryota; Metazoa; Chordata; Aves; Galliformes; Phasianidae. The record is from RefSeq and is a predicted model, not a curated record.
CCCCCGCUGAGUUUCCACUGUGACCCUACAUCCUUGGAGAUGGACGUGAGAUAAGCAGUGUUAUUUCUGCCUUGUCCUAGACAGCAUAAAAUCCAUCUGGUCCCUGUUAUUGGUGAUGGUCAGAACUAGGACCCCAAACACAACGGUCUUUGGAGAGAUCAUCAUUUCCUCCAGAUUUAGCAUCGCUCUAACAGACACGACACUUCAUCUAUGACCGUCAGCUUAAGAUUAUACUUUACUUAGCGCUUUGCCUAAGUUUUCCAUAUUUGCUCUUUAAGUAAACACCAGUCACUCUAAUGAGUCAUA